AAGCAUUCUUUCUUUAAUCUCAGUAGAGUUACAUGAUAUAUGAUUUCUGCAUUCAGAAACUGGACUGCUUACUGAGGCAAUAUUAUGUGCCCAUCGCUGUGCUAAGCAUGGAACUGUAUAAGUGAUCAAAAUGAGAGAGUCCUGCCAUUGCUUAGCUUAUAAAGAACAGAGCAAAGAAAUAAUUGAGCUUCAAAUGGUUCCUUCACCUGAAAUAUGUAAUACAUCCCUGUCAACAUAUGGCAGUGUGGUUUCCCCCAAACCUGUAAACUGACUCAGAAAAUAAUCACCCUGCCGAUACAGAAAAUUGUG
This is a long non-coding RNA of Hyaena hyaena (striped hyena), 309 nucleotides long. RefSeq lists it as uncharacterized. The record is from RefSeq and is a predicted model, not a curated record. Lineage: Eukaryota; Metazoa; Chordata; Mammalia; Carnivora; Hyaenidae. The transcript is spliced from 3 exons.